GGCAGCUUGGCCGAGUGGUUAAGGCGACAGACUAGAAAUCUGUUGGGUUCGCCCUCGCAGGUUCGAAUCCUGCAGCUGUCG
This 81-nucleotide transfer RNA is filed under the name Babesia bovis. It matches the Rfam family "tRNA". Rfam says of the family: Transfer RNA (tRNA) molecules are approximately 80 nucleotides in length. Their secondary structure includes four short double-helical elements and three loops (D, anti-codon, and T loops). Lineage: Eukaryota; Apicomplexa; Aconoidasida; Piroplasmida; Babesiidae. The record is from Rfam by way of RNAcentral.